UGUUCUGGUCCCCAUUCCCCGCUCCUGUUCUCCAGUAAAUUUUCCGGCUCUUAACCCUUGUUACUCCCUGCAGCUCAUUGUCCAGCCUCGGGGGACACAGACGCAGCACACUUGACAUCCAGCAGUUCCCCUGUGUCGCUCGAUUCCACUCAACCCAGCUGUCCUGGGAAUCUUCCCGAAAGAGCUGAAGUAUCAGGACUUGAUUCCACAGAACGCACCCAGUGUUCCCACCAGCUGAACAGAGGAGGCUGGUUUCCCAGGCAGAAAAAACAGAACAAAAAGCGAAUUUCGAGGUUGCUUCGCUGGUCAGGUAGGCCCGGGAGACAGGGCCACUGCAGAGUGACCACUAGUGACCGGGACGGGGAGAGCGGCUUGGGAACCGGCGUCUGCAGUCCUGAGUUCUGGGAAAUCAGUGCCAGCCAGCUCUGUUUCGGUGGAGCCUUAGCCCGAGCCACCCCAUUUGUAUUUCUAGCCUGGUCUCUGGGGGAAUUUAGUCCAGAGUAAUGGCUUCUUGUAUCUUUCAUUUAACAAGACCAACAACCUUCCUCAAACCCUGAACAACUCACAAUGCUGCUCUCAGAGGCCCCACUGUUAAAAUUCUUGUAUUUAAGUCGUUCUUUUUAAAAACAGAAAAUGCCAUACAUAAAAAUAGACCGCCGUGCCUCCCCCCGGACCCGGUACCCAGCUACAAAACCGGGCAGCCCUGCUCCCAGGGGCUU
RNAcentral lists this long non-coding RNA (719 nucleotides) under Cavia porcellus (domestic guinea pig). Its description in RNAcentral is "lncRNA (ENSCPOG00000034714.1)". Lineage: Eukaryota; Metazoa; Chordata; Mammalia; Rodentia; Caviidae. The record is from RNAcentral.